This is a long non-coding RNA of Cloeon dipterum, 839 nucleotides long. RefSeq lists it as uncharacterized. Lineage: Eukaryota; Metazoa; Arthropoda; Insecta; Ephemeroptera; Baetidae. The transcript is spliced from 3 exons. The record is from RefSeq and is a predicted model, not a curated record.
CACGCGCGGCGACAACUAUUGCAAAAUAUGCAUAAACGAGGACGCAAAUACGCGCUACAACACACACUGUCGCAUUUGCAUCCGAUUUCAACAAACUGAAAACAUGAAAUACGUGCUCGUCUGCUUUGUUGCUUGCAUGCUGCUGGUCGGAGCGACGACCAAACCAACAAGAGCGAAGACCAAACCAACGGGAGCGACGGGAGCGACGACCAAAGCAACGGGAGCGGCGGGAGCGACGACCAAAGCAACGGGAGCGGCGGGAGCGACGACCAAAGCAACGGGAGCGACGGGAGCGACGACCAAAGCAACCGAGAGCGAAGACCAAAGCAACGGGAGCGACGGGAGCGACGACCAAAGCAAUCGGGAGCGACGACUAAACCAACGGGAGCGACGACCAAAGCAACGGGAGCGACGGCCAAAGCAACGGGAGCGACGACCAAACCAACCAGGAGCGACGACCAAAGCAACGGGAGCGGCGGGAGCGAUGACCAAAGCGGCGGGAGCGAUGACCAAAGCGGCGGGAGCGAAGACCAAAGCAACGGGAGCGAAGACCAAACCUACGGAAGCGAAGACCAAACCUACGGAAGCGACGACCAAAGCAGGUUGCUCCGAGCCGAUUUUGUGCAUUUUUAAUUACGAUCCAGUUUGCGGCAAGAACGGCAAGGGCGAAAUGCGCACCUUUUCCAACGAGUGCGAUAUGAAGGUCGUAAACUGCAAAAAUUAUGAUUUCGUCAAACUGAAAAUGGGCGAAUGUUAACAAACAUCUUCAAGUUCCGGACGAGGAUCACUAAUUGCAUUUAUUUCGGCAUGUGAUUAAUUCAAUAAAGAGAUUCAAAUUA